Molecule: ribosomal RNA, 408 nt
Filed under: uncultured Bacteroidota bacterium
Lineage: Bacteria; Pseudomonadati; Bacteroidota
Description: bacterial SSU rRNA
Rfam family: Bacterial small subunit ribosomal RNA
Source: RNAcentral
CAGCAGCCGCGGUAAUACGGAGGGUGCAAGCGUUAUCCGGAAUCACUGGGUUUAAAGGGUGCGUAGGCGGAUAGAUAAGUCAGAGGUGAAAGCCCGCAGCUUAACUGUGGAAUUGCCUUUGAUACUGUUUAUCUUGAAUAAGGUUGAGGUUAGCGGAAUGUGGCAUGUAGCGGUGAAAUGCAUAGAUAUGCCAUAGAACACCAAUUGCGUAGGCAGCUAACUAGGCCUUUAUUGACGCUGAGGCACGAAAGCAUGGGGAGCGAACAGGAUUAGAUACCCUGGUAGUCCAUGCCCUAAACGAUGCUAACUCGAUGUUUGGGUCCUAGACUUGAGCAUCCAAGGGAAACCGUUAAGUUAGCCACCUGGGGAGUACGUCGGCAACGAUGAAACUCAAAUGAAUUGACGGGG